AGACCGCCAGCUAAGGUCCCAAAGUCAUGGUUAAGUGGGAAACGAUGUGGGAAGGCCCAGACAGCCAGGAUGUUGGCUUAGAAGCAGCCAUCAUUUAAAGAAAGCGUAAUAGCUCACUGGUCGAGUCGGCCUGCGCGGAAGAUGUAACGGGGCUAAACCAUGCACCGAAGCUGCGGCAGCGAACGUAUCACCCAAGACAACUUUGCGGAGUUGACGAUUGACGGAGCGAAGCGACGUCAAAGCGUUCAUUAAAGUCGAGUUGGCUUAGGGAUACGUUCGUUGGGUAGGGGAGCGUUCUGUAAGCCUGUGAAGGUGGCCUGUGAGGGUUGCUGGAGGUAUCAGAAGUGCGAAUGCUGACAUAAGUAACGAUAAAGCGGGUGAAAAGCCCGCUCGCCGGAAGACCAAGGGUUCCUGUCCAACGUUAAUCGGGGCAGGGUGAGUCGACCCCUAAGGCGAGGCCGAAAGGCGUAGUCGAUGGGAAACGGGUUAAUAUUCCCGUACUUGGUGUUACUGCGAAGGGGGGACGGAGAAGGCUAUGUUGGCCGGGCGACGGUU
RNAcentral lists this ribosomal RNA (555 nucleotides) under Salmonella enterica subsp. enterica serovar Hadar. RNAcentral describes it as "partial 23S ribosomal RNA". It matches the Rfam family "Bacterial large subunit ribosomal RNA", at positions 1029 to 1503 of the family's 2925-position model. The record is from RNAcentral. Lineage: Bacteria; Pseudomonadati; Pseudomonadota; Gammaproteobacteria; Enterobacterales; Enterobacteriaceae.